CUUACUAUUGAAGGUGCAGAUUAUACAUCUUUUGACACAUAUUACUAACAUUGGGAAUAUCGUUACUCUCUAUCACAAGGUGCUUCCUAUCUUCUACAAGGUGACUCCAACCAAUGUGAAAAGACUUAAGGGAGAGUUUGGUGACCAUUUCAGAGAUAUAGAAUACAUGUACAAGUCUGACGAACCUAUGAUAAAGCAAUGGAAAGAGGCGAUCGUGUUUGUCUCCCAUAAGUUUGCCCUGACUUUGGAUGAAAAAAGGUACGAAUGUCAAUUCAUACUUUUAAUUCUAUGUUUUAUUGAGAGGCGAAAGAAAUCUCUAAUCUAGAAACAAAAUUUUGACAUAUUUCAACAUUGUAUAUGCAUUUACUUAAUUAGUUCAUCGAAAAUGUUAACGUAUUGUUAGAUCUGAUUAAAUUCAUCGAAGUCGUGCAACUUUUUUAUGUGUAUGUGCACGCUCAUGUGUCAACUUUGAAAGAACUCAUCUCGACCUUUUUUUAAACAAGUGUAGUAGCUUAUUGGAGAUUGAUUUCGUUGAAACUAUCGUCAAGGAGGUCUUGAAAAUGCUACAAGCCAUAUGCAAAGUGGAAAGUGGCCAAUCCUCUUUUUGUGUGGAGAAAGCCUGAAGCUCAAUUUUGAUGGUAAAGAAUCACACAUGAAGAUCACCAAAACGUUGGUUUAUUUACUUCAGCAGAGUAAUUUAUUAGUAUCAUUAAAUUAUUGAGUUAAGGAUUCUGGUUAUGUCUCAUUGAAAAAAAUGUUUCUUUAUAAGUAAAAACUUGAGAGCUCCUGAAAUUGUUUGUCAUUUUACCAAAAGUCUGAUCAUUGAUUCUUUGAAUGAUAUUGGGGUUAGCUUCGUUUUGAAGUACCACAGUUAUAUCUAGUAAUGUUAAUAUGGGCGGACCCAGCCCGUUUAAGCCCGACCCGUUUAAAUCCGGCCCGUUUAACAUAAUAUGGUGCUGAGUGACUCAACCAUCACGAACCAACAAAAAGACAAAUAAACCCCAUAUCUUUUCUUUUUAAUCUGUUUAAAUUUAGACAUGAUUAACAACUGUUGAUUCUUGUGGCUGGUUCGAUCUUCAAAGGUAAAAAAUCAAGUGAAGGUUAUGUUGCCUCCUGUUGUUGUCUUUAUAAUCUUAGAACUAUACUUCUCUUCUAUUCUAAUUUUUGCAAUAGAUUUCCACCUCUGUGUUUUUCAUCCUUGUAUUUCUCUUCUCGAUGCAGUAAAGAAAUUUAAGUUAAAUGCUCUCACCUAAGUUUAACAGAAUUUUAUGAACGAUGUAGGAUACAUUUGUAUUGGGCCUCAUAUUUUUGAGGCCCAAAUUUCCAAAUUUUUUUUUUUUAAGGCUCCAAAAUUAGCAAAAAAAAUUUUCAAAAUUAGUAAAAAGACCUCAUAAUUAAUAAAAAUACUCUAUAAUUAGUAAAAAAAUCUCAUAAUUAAUAAACAAUGUCCAAAAAUUAAAAAAAAUUAAUAAAUAAAAUUAUGAAUGUCUCAUAAUUAACAAAAAAAAAAACAAAAAGUAGUAGUUUUUAUUUUUUAAAAAGCCCCAAUUUUUUUUUGUAUUUGGCCCCAGAACUAUUGAAAGCUUUGUAAGGAACUAUUGAAAGCUUUGUAAGGAACAUCAUUUUAAUGUCUCAUAAUUCAUCUUUCCACUAUGGAUUCUGGCUGCUAAUAUGCAGACUACAUUCUGCCUGCAAGUUAAGCCUCAUCUACGAGUGUGUGUGUCGAUCAGGCUGUCUCCACCUGGCCUCAGCCGUAGGAGACUUAAAGGUUUUCCGACUAGACCAGGCCUAAAUUUUUUAGUCUAAUAAAUAUGACGCACAAGCAAGAACUAAUAAUAAAUAUGACGCACAAGCAAGAACUAACACAUGAUUAGAAAAACAGACACCCAAAUUAUGUGCCAAAUCAAACAUAUGAUUUUGAAUCUUACAACAUAACAUCAUUGGAAAAACUGAAAAUUUACAUUUUUAUGGAACAGUGACUCGAAAACAGAACAAAUUUAUAGUCAUGCAAGACAAGAGACAUUAAAGAAGACUUCAGAUAUACACUGAAUUUGGUCUGCUGAAAUGAAAAACGAAAUAUUUACUGAUUGCGUAAACAAGUCAAGUUCUUACCACUUUUGGAUUUCAUAUGAGUGUUUGACAAGAAACAGUCAAAAGACUUGAGAUGUUUACUGAUUGCAGGUGACAGGAAUUAGGACGUCUCCUCCUUGAGCUUUGUGAACAUCAAAUUCUCCAAAGGACGGAUCUUGAACACAUCAUAUUCUAAAUUUAGAUUAGUCAACCCCCGCUGAAGACUUUGGCUCAUCUCGAGUGCUUUUUGACAUAUCUUUCUUUUAAAUGUAGGCGGUGAUUCUACCAAGUCUGGAUUUGUUAUCCUUCCUUGGCUACUUUGGAAGCUUCUGAGUUUCAGGAAGUCUAAGAUAUGGGGCUCAGGUGUUUGUAAAACGGGUUUUCGCUGAUUGUCUAAGAAUUCGUGUAAACUCUUAACAAAUAGUGUGACCGGAGGAAAGAUGGUCUUAAUGGAUGAUACCUCGAAUUUCAAUUCGACAUUAGAUGGAAAUUCUGGGAAACUUUGGACUUGUGUGCAACCAGAGAGAUCAACGACUCUAAGUUGAUGCAACUGAUGAAUGUCAGGGAAUCUUUUCAAGUUCUUACAGCCGCAAAGAUCAAGUUUCUCAAGGUUUCGAGCUUCUGAAAGUUCAUCAACUUCAAGCAGAUUCUGUGAAUGGCGCAGGUUGAUCCUCUUCAGCAUCUUGAGGUUCUGAAAAUAAAGAGAAACACAGUUGAAGUAAUUGGCUAAAGGAAUAACAGAGAAGGUACUACUUUUCAUUUGAGUCUACUUACUUUGGUUCCUUUCCAAAGUGUUUGGAGUUGGCUGUAAGGCAUAUUCUUAGGUUACUCAAGGUCCCCCUCGUAUUUUAAGCUGCAGCUGCCGUCCUCGGGGUCUUUUUUGACUCCNNNNNNNNNNNNNNNNNNNNNNNNNNNNNNNNNNNNNNNNNNNNNNNNNNNNNNNNNNNNNNNNNNNNNNNNNNNNNNNNNNNNNNNNNNNNNNNNNNNNUAUCUUAUUUAGGAAAAGAAAUUGAUUUAAGAUCUAUACCAAUGUUAUUACUUACUAUUGAAGGUGCAGAUUAUACAUCUUUUGACACAUAUUACUAACAUUGGGAAUAUCGUUACUCUCUAUCACAAGGUGCUUCCUAUCUUCUACAAGGUGACUCCCACCAAUGUGAAAAGACUUAAGGGAGAGUUUGGUGACCAUUUCAGAGAUAAAGAAUACAUGUACAAGUCUGACGAACCUAUGAUAAAGUAAUGGAAAGAGGCGAUCGUGUUUGUCUCCCAUAAGUUUGCCCUGGCUUUGGAUGAAAAAAGGUACGAAUGUCAAUUCAUACUUUUAAUUCUAUGUUUUAUUGAGAGGCGAAAGAAAUCUCUAAUCUAUAAACAAAAGUUUGACAUAUUUCAACAUUGUAUAUACAUUUACUUAAUUAGUUCAUCGGAAAUGUUAACGUAUCGUUACAUCUGAUUAAAUUCAUCGAAGUCGUGCAACUUUUUUAUGUAUCUGUGCACGCUCAUGUGUGAACUUUGAAAGAACUCAUCUCGACCUUUUUUUAAAACAAGUGUAGUAGCGUAUUGGAGAUUGAUUUCGUUGAAACUGUCGUCAAGGAGGUCUUGAAAAUGCUACAAGCCAUAUGCAAAGGGGAAAGCGGUCAAUCCUCUUUUUGUGUGGAGAAAGCCUGAAGCUCAAUUUUGAUGGUAAAGAAUCACACAUGAAGAGCACCAAAACGUUGGUUUAUGUACUUAAGCAGAGUAAUUUAUUAUCAUUAAAUUAUUGAGUUAAGGAUUCUGGUUAUGUCUCAUUGAAAAAAAAUGUUUCUUUAUAAGUAAAAACUUGAGAGCUCCUGAAAUUGUUUCUUUGUCAUUUUACCAAAAGUACUAUGAUCAUUGAUUCUUUGAAUGAUAUUGGGGUUAGCUUCGUUUUGAAAUACCACAGUUAUAUCCAAUACUAUUGGACCAAUAGUGUCUUACCAUUGAUUCUUUUUAAAGUUGCAGAUGCUGGGUGAUGAAGUGCAGUAUUUGAUACUUUUUUUUUUUGUUUUAAAUUAGGUUAUCAGUUUUAUGUUCCUUAUUUAAUUUGUCUCCUAUUUCUUGUUUUGAGUAUUAUUUGAUUCUUGGUUUUGGGUCUCUUUGGUGUAUAAGCCCCAUGGAACUGGUAGUGAAAGAUAUACUUUAAUACAUAGUUUUUGAAUCGCUCUCAAGCAUCAAAGAUUGUUCUUAUAACUCUUUGUUAAAAUCCUUGUAUCUUGUUCCUCAAGAGGUUGGAGUGAGACUUAGUGUAAAAGUGAUUAAGAAAGGCUACUUUGGUAGAGACUUCAACCACAAGCUCUUCAGUAGCUUAACAAGAUGAUGUUUAUAAUUUCAAUGGAACAUCAAGAAACGUAUGGACCAAAGAUUUGCUGAACGUGCAUCUGACAAUGAUAGAGAGUGCUGAGCAAGAUUUCCAACAAAACUGGCUUGUUCUUUGCAACGCAAGGCUAAACUAUAUGUUUAAUCCUUUUCUUUGAUAUGUUAUUAUAAUGAAAAAUUCAGUAAAUCUUAUCGUCAGAAAUAUUGGCUGUUAAUGGUUUCGUCUUCAGCAAGUAGAAGUAGCUUGUCCUCCACUGAACAAAACAGAGUAAGAAAAAACAGAGCAAAAUCCAAAUCCGAUUGGGCCAAAGCCAAACAGAGGUACUAUCUUCCUCUGCUUGUCUUGUCAUGAGAUAAAAUUUGAAAAACGUUUUCAUCAUGUUUAUAUCCUGCCAAGUGCCAGCUCGAUCAUUACAGAGGUGAUUCGUCAUGCUCCUCCUAAUCAUCAGUAUGAAUGGAGGUCUUGAUAUCUACUAAUGGCGGCAUGGUAUGAAUCAAUGCCGUCCGACAUUCUCUUCGGAUUUUUCUGUUUUUGGUGAGAUUGGCUUCUCAAAACACUCUUUGAUCUGCUCACUUUCUAUUUUAUCUACCUUUCCACUUGAAUUAAAAUUGCUUUCGCAUUUUCUUCUUAGCAUCAACGUCUUUUUAUUGCUGUAAAAAGUAUUUUUUUGUCUCUCAAUAAGUUUAAAAUUAAAACAAAAAUAUAUCUGGGAGGAAGGUUGAACGUUUGAGUAGCUCAAGAGACUUCAACAUAGUAAUUCGAACACAUUUGAUUUAAAUGUAGUAUCUCUUAAGCAGCCUUCUUAAUUCAGUCCUUUUAUCUUCUUUAUGCCUCCUCCGUACGUUUGAUACUCCUGCAACCAGAUAGAUUCAGAAAUUAAAGAUUCUUUAGCUGUGGGAUGCUCUUCAAGCUUGUACAACCUUAAAGAUCUGUUUUCUCGAGGCUACAAGCUUUCGCGAGUUCGUCAACGUCAAGUAGUUUCUGAGAGUGGCUAAGAUUUAUCAUCUUUAAUCUGGCUAGAACUCAUCUUCGUUGGUUCAUCUCGAUGAUGCAUACAGAUGAUGCAUCUGGAUGUUGUUCGUUUUUGUAUUUGGUUGUGCAUCUGGAUUGACUAUCUGAAUAAAGCUUAUGUUUAGUUUUUAAGAAUUCUCAUGUAGUAUUAAGGAUGGACCAUCCAGAUGAACUAACGAACAUCAUUUUAAAUCAGCCCGGCCUCAGCUUAGCGGGCGCAAAUGUAUUCCGACCUGACCAGGCCUGAAUUUUUUCAGUCUAAAAAAUACUACGCACAAGCACAUGACAUAAUUCGGAAAAUAAACACUCAAAUAAAACAUAUGAAAGUCCGUCUUUAACAGCAAAAGCUCACUGAACACACUGAAAAUAUUACAUCUUUAUGGAACAAUGAUAUCAAAACAGAACGUUUUUUUUUUGUUUUUUUAGUCAUGCAUGACAAUUAUUGACAGGGAACAUGAGAAGAAGACUUCAUUUAUAUAGUAAAUCUGGUCCGCUGAAAUGCAAAUCUCCUCUUUGACGUUUUUGAACUCCAAAUGCUCAAGACGAGAGAUUUGUGUACCCAUAUCCUUCGAUUUGGCUACUUCAACUGAAGACUUGAGGUUCUUUUUAUUGCUUUCUGCAAUAUCAUAGCUAAUAUGGUUGGUGAUUCCAUCAUAUCUGGAUUUGUUAUCCUUUCUUGGCUACUCAAGAAGCUUCCGAGUUUCUGAAAGUCAAAGAUUUGUUGUCCAGAAGGAUUGUCGAAGAGCUCCAGUAAGCUUUUGAUGGUGAAUGUGACUGGAGGGAAGAAUUUCUUAAUGGUAGUUCCCUGGAAUUUCAAUGUGACAUUAGAUAGAAACUCAGGGUAACUUUUGAUUUGUGUGCAACCAGAGAGAUCAACAACUUGGAGUUUUUGCAAUUGAUAAAUGGCUGGAAAACUUUGCAAGUUCUUACAGCCACUGAGAUCAAUUUGCUAAUAACGCUCCAUGUACGUGUUUACAUGUAUACAAAUGUUAAUAACGCUUUAUAUGAAUAUUAUAUGUAUUUACAUGUACACAUAGACCGAAGUAUUUAACACUAUAAUUAUUUUUAACGCUCUAUGUAUUUGUUUAUCUGUAUAUAAAUGUCAAAAUCGUGUAAAAUAUUCAUUGGAUGUCCAUGCAGCUAGGUUAGUUGUUUAAAAAAAUCGAAAAACUAUUUCUUGGGUGUCCAUACAACUAUGUUGGUUGUUUACAUUUUUCGAUUCCCAUCUAAAACUGUUUUCGUUAUUGUUUCAAAUUAGAUAAAGUUCAAAAAAAGUCGAUUGCAUUUAAUAAUUGUCACCCCGUUAUUUCUAUCAACUGGUGAACAUUUAUUACAUGUCAGGUUUUAUUUUCGAUGUCUUAAAAGUCAAAAGCAUCUCUCCACGCGCAGAGAUAAAUCAAGUGGUGUUUUUUUCGUAAUUAAACUGAACUCCAAAUCCAUUUAUCUAAUUUAUUUAUCUUUGUUAAAGACCAAAAACUCAUAUUGUCGAUUAGCUAAUUUUAUGUCCAGUUUUUGUUUCUGCACAAAUUCACCCAAGAAAAAAGUGAAACAAAUCUCACCAACAAAUAACAAAUUUUCACCGAUUUUCUGCAACCUAUGUUCUCCGAUGGGGAUUUUGGGAGAUGCUUUUGUCGUUUUCAAAGAAAAUUAAGCGAAUUUGAGAUAUGUGUUGAGAAUUGAAGGUAAUCGGAGAGAUAAUCUCGCGAAAUUUACAAAAAUAAAAAAUUUGUCUUAUUAAUUUUUUUUAAAAAAUUGUUAUUUAUUUAUAAUUAAAAUACAUAGUUUUCAAAAUAAUAUUUAGAGAAUAAGGUUUUAAAUCUUGAUUGUAAACCUAAACAUUUUUCAUUAUCAUUGAAAUAUUUACAUUUUUAGCAAAAAAAAAAGAAAAAAAAAGUGAAAAGGGUAAAUAUGGAUAUUUCCCAAAAUUUUGUUUUGUAAAUGAAAUAUACAAAAGGGCAAAACAUAUUUUGUCAUGGAAUCGUUUUUAAAAAUACAUGUUAUCUCUUUUGGUGCGAAGAACUUUCACCAAGUCGCGAAUGCACGGUGAAGUUAAGCCACCGAGAAAUAUCCAAGUUUUCAUCAAUUUCCGCGGAGAUCAGUUGCACUACAAUUUCGUCAGCUAUCUUGUGGAUGCACUUCGGAGAAGUGAGAUCAACGUGUUCAUAGACAAUGAGGAGCAAAGAGGUGAAGACCUCAACACUCUUUUCAAGAGGAUCGAAGAAUCUGGGAUUGCCAUAGUUGUGAGCUUGUUAAGAUUAAAGAACGUGUGGACGAAGGCCUGCUCAAGGUGUGAUCAAUAAACAUUGGAUAUACCUCUAUAUAUCUUAUUUAGGAAAAGAAAUUGAUUUAAGAUCUAUACCAAUGUUAUUACUUACUAUUGAAGGUGCAGAUUAUACAUCUUUUGACACAUAUUACUAACUUUGGGAAUAUUGUUACUCUCUAUCACAAGGUGCUUCCUAUCUUCUACAAGGUGACUCCAACCAAUGUGAAAAGACUUAAGGGAGAGUUUGGUGACCAUUUCAGAGAUAAGGAAUACAUGUACAAGUCUGACGAACCUAUGAUAAAGCAAUGGAAAGAGGCGAUCGUGUCUGUCUCCCAUAAGUUUGCCCUGGCUUUGGAUGAAAAAAG
RNAcentral lists this long non-coding RNA (8038 nucleotides) under Arabidopsis lyrata. RNAcentral describes it as "long non-coding RNA (ALYR_LNC000394)". The record is from RNAcentral. Lineage: Eukaryota; Viridiplantae; Streptophyta; Magnoliopsida; Brassicales; Brassicaceae.